Molecule: ribosomal RNA, 1379 nt
Filed under: uncultured bacterium
Lineage: Bacteria
Description: 16S ribosomal RNA
Rfam family: Bacterial small subunit ribosomal RNA
Source: RNAcentral
AGAGUUUGAUCCUGGCUCAGAUUGAACGCUGGUGGCAGGCCUAACACAUGCAAGUCGAGCGGUAGAGAGAAGCUUGCUUCUCUUGAGAGCGGCGGACGGGUGAGUAAUGCCUAGGAAUCUGCCUGGUAGUGGGGGAUAACGUCCGGAAACGGACGCUAAUACCGCAUACGUCCUACGGGAGAAAGCAGGGGACCUUCGGGCCUUGCGCUAUCAGAUGAGCCUAGGUCGGAUUAGCUAGUUGGUGAGGUAAUGGCUCACCAAGGCGACGAUCCGUAACUGGUCUGAGAGGAUGAUCAGUCACACUGGAACUGAGACACGGUCCAGACUCCUACGGGAGGCAGCAGUGGGGAAUAUUGGACAACGGGCGAAAGCCUGAUCCAGCCAUGCCGCGUGUGUGAAGAAGGUCUUCGGAUUGUAAAGCACUUUAAGUUGGGAGGAAGGGCAGUAAAUUAAUACUUUGCUGUUUUGACGUUACCGACAGAAUAAGCACCGGCUAACUCUGUGCCAGCAGCCGCGGUAAUACAGAGGGUGCAAGCGUUAAUCGGAAUUACUGGGCGUAAAGCGCGCGUAGGUGGUUUGUUAAGUUGGAUGUGAAAUCCCCGGGCUCAACCUGGGAACUGCAUUCAAAACUGACUGACUAGAGUAUGGUAGAGGGUGGUGGAAUUUCCUGUGUAGCGGUGAAAUGCGUAGAUAUAGGAAGGAACACCAGUGGCGAAGGCGACCACCUGGACUAAUACUGACACUGAGGUGCGAAAGCGUGGGGAGCAAACAGUAUUAGAUACCCUGGUAGUCCACGCCGUAAACGAUGUCAACUAGCCGUUGGAAGCCUUGAGCUUUUAGUGGCGCAGCUAACGCAUUAAGUUGACCGCCUGGGGAGUACGGCCGCAAGGUUAAAACUCAAAUGAAUUGACGGGGGCCCGCACAAGCGGUGGAGCAUGUGGUUUAAUUCGAAGCAACGCGAAGAACCUUACCAGGCCUUGACAUCCAAUGAACUUUCUAGAGAUAGAUUGGUGCCUUCGGGAACAUUGAGACAGGUGCUGCAUGGCUGUCGUCAGCUCGUGUCGUGAGAUGUUGGGUUAAGUCCCGUAACGAGCGCAACCCUUGUCCUUAGUUACCAGCACGUCAUGGUGGGCACUCUAAGGAGACUGCCGGUGACAAACCGGAGGAAGGUGGGGAUGACGUCAAGUCAUCAUGGCCCUUACGGCCUGGGCUACACACGUGCUACAAUGGUCGGUACAGAGGGUUGCCAAGCCGCGAGGUGGAGCUAAUCCCACAAAACCGAUCGUAGUCCGGAUCGCAGUCUGCAACUCGACUGCGUGAAGUCGGAAUCGCUAGUAAUCGCGAAUCAGAAUGUCGCGGUGAAUACGUUCCCGGGCCUU